UGCUCUUUAGUUUAAUUGGAAGAACAAUGGCCUUCUAAGCCGAUAAUGUAGGUUCAAGUCCUACAGGAGCCA
RNAcentral lists this transfer RNA (72 nucleotides) under Hyaloperonospora arabidopsidis Emoy2. Its description in RNAcentral is "Hyaloperonospora arabidopsidis tRNA-Arg for anticodon UCU". It matches the Rfam family "tRNA". From Rfam's summary of the family: Transfer RNA (tRNA) molecules are approximately 80 nucleotides in length. Their secondary structure includes four short double-helical elements and three loops (D, anti-codon, and T loops). The record is from Rfam by way of RNAcentral. Lineage: Eukaryota; Oomycota; Peronosporomycetes; Peronosporales; Peronosporaceae.